This 700-nucleotide ribosomal RNA is filed under the name uncultured bacterium. RNAcentral describes it as "bacterial SSU rRNA". It matches the Rfam family "Bacterial small subunit ribosomal RNA", at positions 103 to 840 of the family's 1533-position model. The record is from RNAcentral.
CGGGUGAGUACACGUGGGAACGUGCCCUUUGGUUCGGAACAACUCAGGGAAACUUGAGCUAAUACCGGAUGUGCCCUUCGGGGGAAAGAUUUAUCGCCAUUGGAGCGGCCCGCGUCUGAUUAGCUAGUUGGUGGGGUAAAGGCCCACCAAGGCGACGAUCAGUAGCUGGUCUGAGAGGAUGAUCAGCCACAUUGGGACUGAGACACGGCCCAAACUCCUACGGGAGGCAGCAGUGGGGAAUCUUGCGCAAUGGGCGAAAGCCUGACGCAGCCAUGCCGCGUGAAUGAUGAAGGUCUUAGGAUUGUAAAAUUCUUUCACCGGGGACGAUAAUGACGGUACCCGGAGAAGAAGCCCCGGCUAACUUCGUGCCAGCAGCCGCGGUAAUACGAAGGGGGCUAGCGUUGCUCGGAAUUACUGGGCGUAAAGGGAGCGUAGGCGGACUGUUAAGUUAGAGGUGAAAGCCCAGGGCUCAACCUUGGAAUUGCCUUUGAUACUGGCAGUCUUGAGUACGGAAGAGGUAUGUGGAACUCCGAGUGUAGAGGUGAAAUUCGUAGAUAUUCGGAAGAACACCAGUGGCGAAGGCGACAUACUGGUCCGUUACUGACGCUGAGGCUCGAAAGCGUGGGGAGCAAACAGGAUUAGAUACCCUGGUAGUCCACGCCGUAAACGAUGAGUGCUAGUUGUCGGCAUGCAUGCAUGU